AGAGUUUGAUCCUGGCUCAGAACGAACGUUGGCGGCCUGGAUUAGGCAUGCAAGUUGAGCGUACCCAGCAAUGGGGAGCAGCGUAAGGGGCAGUAAGGUAUGGGUAUCUACCCGGGGAUCGGGCAUAGCCUGUAGAGAUACAGGGUAAUUCCCGAUGAUGUCGCAAGACCAAAGCUCCGGCGUCCCUGGAGGAGCCCAUAUGGUAUUACGGUAGAUGGUGGGGUAACGGCCCACCAUGCCUAAGAUGCCUAGCGGGUGUGAGAGCACGACCCGCGCCACUGGCACUGAGACACUGGCCAGACACCUACGGGUGGCUGCAGUCGAGGAUCUUCGGCAAUGGGCGCAAGCCUGACCGAGCGACGCCGCGUGUGCGACGAAGGCCUUCGGGUUGUAAACUCCUGUCGAGGGGGAAGAAGGCUCCGUGGAGAACGGAGCUUGACUGAUCCCUGGAGGAAGCACGGGCUAAGUUCGUGCCAGCAGCCGCGGUAAUUC
This 492-nucleotide ribosomal RNA is filed under the name uncultured bacterium. RNAcentral's name for it is "bacterial SSU rRNA". It matches the Rfam family "Bacterial small subunit ribosomal RNA", at positions 8 to 526 of the family's 1533-position model. The record is from RNAcentral.